Molecule: ribosomal RNA, 253 nt
Filed under: uncultured bacterium
Lineage: Bacteria
Description: partial 16S ribosomal RNA
Rfam family: Bacterial small subunit ribosomal RNA
Source: RNAcentral
UACGGGGGGGGCAAGCGUUGUUCGGAAUUACUGGGCGUAAAGGGCGCGUAGGCGGUUGGAUAAGUCAGCUGUGAAAACCACGAGCUCAACUUGUGGCCUGCAGUUGAAACUGUCUGGCUAGAGUGUGGGAGAGGGAAGUGGAAUUCCCGGUGUAGCGGUGAAAUGCGUAGAUAUCAGGAGGAACACCGGUGGCGAAGGCGGCUUCCUGGACCACAACUGACGCUGAGGCGCGAAAGCUAGGGGAGCAAACAGG